RNAcentral lists this ribosomal RNA (301 nucleotides) under uncultured bacterium. Its description in RNAcentral is "partial 16S ribosomal RNA". It matches the Rfam family "Bacterial small subunit ribosomal RNA", at positions 509 to 807 of the family's 1533-position model. The record is from RNAcentral.
CAGUAGCCACGGUAAUACGUAGGGGGCAAGCGUUAUCCGGAAUUACUGGGUGUAAAGGGAGCGUAGACGGUUAAACAAGUCUGAAGUGAAAUGCCGGGGCUCAACCCCGGAGCUGCUUUGGGAACUGUAGAACUGGAGUGUCGGAGGGGUAAGCGGAAUUCCCAGUGUAGCGGUGAAAUGCGUAGAUAUUGGGAGGAACACCGGCGGCGAAGGCGGCUUACUGGACGACAACUGACGUUGAGGCUCGAAGGCGUGGGUAGCAAACUGGAUUAGAUACCCCCGUAGUCCCUGUCUCUUAUAC